GUGAAUCAUCGAAUCUUUGAACGCACAUUGCGCCUCCCGUUACAGGGAGGCAUGCCUGUCUGAGCGUCAUUUAAACUCAAAUCCCGUCCCGGAAUCCCCGGGGCGGCGUCUUGGGCUCUCGUCGACGUCUGCCGCGUCGUCGUGGCCUCGAAAGCAUCGGUCUCUGUUGAGCGGGCGAGAUCCACUAGGACGAAAGGACCGUUCGGACAUGACCUUAAAUUCAGACCCUGAAUUUGACCUCAGAUCAGGUAGGGCUACCGCCUGAACUUAAGCAUAUCAAUAAGCGGAGGA
RNAcentral lists this unclassified non-coding RNA (291 nucleotides) under Archaeorhizomyces sp. RNAcentral describes it as "partial contains 5.8S ribosomal RNA, internal transcribed spacer 2, and large subunit ribosomal RNA". The stretch from base 1 to 69 matches the Rfam family "5.8S ribosomal RNA", at positions 84 to 154 of the family's 154-position model. The record is from RNAcentral. Lineage: Eukaryota; Fungi; Ascomycota; Archaeorhizomycetes; Archaeorhizomycetales; Archaeorhizomycetaceae.